Molecule: small nuclear RNA, 95 nt
Organism: Ostrinia nubilalis (European corn borer)
Lineage: Eukaryota; Metazoa; Arthropoda; Insecta; Lepidoptera; Crambidae
Source: RefSeq, a predicted model, not a curated record
UAGGUACAUCAUAUUAUAAUAAAAUUGGAACGAUACAAAGAAGAUUAGCAUAGCGCAAGGAUGACACGCAAAAUCGUGAAGCGUUCCAUAUUUUU